CAGAGUGCAGAUGUCGGCCUCUGAGGUAGCUGGCCUUGGGGCCCGAGCCCCGAGUCCUUCGGAAUCGUCUGCUUCUUGUACUUCCAAGUCAGAUGACGCUCUCCCAGAUGGCCUAAGACUGACUUUAAGACAGCAGAUUCAGAAGUAAACACAGACCAAGAUAUUGAAAAGAAUCUGGACAAAAUGAUGACAGAGAGAACUCUGCUGAAGGAACGUUACCAAGAAGUCCUGGACAAGCAGAGACAGGUGGAGAGUCAGCUCCAAGUGCAAUUGAAGCAGCUUCAGCAAAGGAGGGAAGAAGAGAUGAAGAAUCACCAGGAGAUACUAAAGGCCAUUCAGGAUGUGACCAUAAAGCGAGAAGAAACCAAGAAGAAGAUAGAGAAAGAAAAGAAG
Molecule: long non-coding RNA, 393 nt
Filed under: Rattus norvegicus (Norway rat)
Lineage: Eukaryota; Metazoa; Chordata; Mammalia; Rodentia; Muridae
Description: long non-coding RNA NONRATT028505
Source: RNAcentral